Molecule: ribosomal RNA, 500 nt
Filed under: uncultured bacterium
Lineage: Bacteria
Description: partial 16S ribosomal RNA
Rfam family: Bacterial small subunit ribosomal RNA
Source: RNAcentral
AUUGAACGCUAGCGGCAUGCCUUACACAUGCAAGUCGAACGGCAGCACGAACUUCGGUUUGGUGGCGAGUGGCGAACGGGUGAGUAAAGCAUCGGAACGUGCCUAGUAGUGGGGGAUAACUAUUCGAAAGAGUAGCUAAUACCGCAUACGAUCUAAGGAUGAAAGUGGGGGAUCUUCGGACCUCAUGCUAUUAGAGCGGCCGAUGUCAGAUUAGCUAGUUGGUGAGGUAAAAGCUCACCAAGGCGACGAUCUGUAGCUGGUCUGAGAGGACGACCAGCCACACUGGGACUGAGACACGGCCCAGACUCCUACGGGAGGCAGCAGUGGGGAAUUUUGGACAAUGGGCGAAAGCCUGAUCCAGCAAUGCCGCGUGUGUGAAGAAGGCCUUCGGGUUGUAAAGCACUUUUGUUCGGGAAGAAAAGGUUUGUGUUAAUACCAUAAGCUGAUGACGGUACCGAAAGAAUAAGCACCGGCUAACUUCGUGCCAGCCGCCGCAGUAA